AUUGAACGCUGGCGGCAGGCUUAACACAUGCAAGUCGAGCGGGGUGAUGGUGCUUGCACUAUCACUUAGCGGCGGACGGGUGAGUAAUGCUUAGGAAUCUGCCUAUUAGUGGGGGACAACAUCUCGAAAGGGAUGCUAAUACCGCAUACGUCCUACGGGAGAAAGCAGGGGAUCACUUGUGACCUUGCGCUAAUAGAUGAGCCUAAGUCGGAUUAACUAGUUGGUGGGGUAAAGGCAUACCAAGGCGACGAUCUGUAGCGGGUCUGAGAGGAUGAUCCGCCACACUGGGACUGAGACACGGCCCAGACUCCUACGGGAGGCAGCAGUGGGGAAUAUUGGACAAUGGGGGGAACCCUGAUCCAGCCAUGCCGCGUGUGUGAAGAAGGCCUUAUGGUUGUAAAGCACUUUAAGCGAGGAGGAGGCUCUUUUGGUUAAUACCCAAGAUGAGUGACGUUACUCGCAGAAUAAGCACCGGCUAACUCUGUGCCAGCCGCCGCGGUAA
Molecule: ribosomal RNA, 502 nt
Filed under: uncultured bacterium
Lineage: Bacteria
Description: partial 16S ribosomal RNA
Rfam family: Bacterial small subunit ribosomal RNA
Source: RNAcentral